Molecule: ribosomal RNA, 468 nt
Filed under: uncultured bacterium
Lineage: Bacteria
Description: partial 16S ribosomal RNA
Rfam family: Bacterial small subunit ribosomal RNA
Source: RNAcentral
GACGAACGCUGGCGGCGUGCUUAACACAUGCAAGUCGAACGGAAAGGCCCUGCUUUUGUGGGGUGCUCGAGUGGCGAACGGGUGAGUAACACGUGAGUAACCUGCCCUUGACUUUGGGAUAACUUCAGGAAACUGGGGCUAAUACCGGAUAGGAGCUCCUGCUGCAUGGUGGGGGUUGGAAAGUUUCGGCGGUUGGGGAUGGACUCGCGGCUUAUCAGCUUGUUGGUGGGGUAGUGGCUUACCAAGGCUUUGACGGGUAGCCGGCCUGAGAGGGUGACCGGCCACAUGGGGACUGAGAUACGGCCCAGACUCCUACGGGAGGCAGCAGUGGGGAAUAUUGCACAAUGGGCAGAAGCCUGAUGCAGCAACGCCGCGUGCGGGAUGACGGCCUUCGGGUUGUAAACCGCUUUCGCCUGUGACGAAGCGUGAGUGACGGUAAUGGGUAAAGAAGCACCGGCUAACUACGUG